Long non-coding RNA from Neofelis nebulosa (Clouded leopard), 742 nucleotides. RefSeq lists it as uncharacterized. The record is from RefSeq and is a predicted model, not a curated record. The transcript has 2 exons. NCBI's taxonomy places the organism in Eukaryota, Metazoa, Chordata, Mammalia, Carnivora, Felidae.
UUGUCCUCUGCAAUAUGGGGAAGGGGGACUCAUUCAAUCAAUUGGAAAUGUAAAUAGAGUAAAAAGGAGAACUAAGGAAGAAUUCACCCUCUCUGCCUGUUUUUGAGUUGGGACGUUGGUUUUCUCUUGCAGUUGAAUUGGAAGCUGUACCAUCAGUUUGGGUUCUCAGGCCUUCAGACUUGGAUUGAAACUCUACUACUGUCUUUUCUGGGUAUACAGCUUACAGAUGGCAGACUGAGACAUCUUAGUCUCCAUAAUCAUGACUUUCUUGGUGUUCCUGGCCAUCUGCCUGACGUCCAGAGUUGCCUGCAUUCUGACAAGACAGAAUGGCUCACCUAGCUUCAGAACAACAUCAGAGGUGCCAACACAAAGUAGACCAGAUACACUGUCCAAAAUACCCCUCCAUGGUUAUUCCAAACCAGGACUAAGCCAGGAGGUGUUCCAAAAAUAUAUCACUAUAUUUUGGCCUGAGUGUCACUUCCCCACUUGGCAAGCUAGGGCUAGAGAAAUUGGAACAGAGAUUUCCUGUUAGCCUGUCUUGUAUUCUCUCCUCUCAGAUAUACAUCUUUGACUUGUCCCAUCUCCAAUGACACAGUUGCCCCAGCUUUUAUAAUUAUUUGUACAUAUCAUAAAGGAGCAGAAGCUGUACAUUUUGUCUCCAACCUUCUCCAAAAUAAUUUCAGCCAAACUGUUCUCUUCACACUCAAAUGUUUUUAAGUGAAUAAAUGACCAACUGAAUGAA